UUGGACAUGGGUUAGUCGAUCCUAAGAGAUAGGGAAACUCCGUUUUAAAGUGCAUGAUUAUCCAUGCCGCCCAUCGAAAGGGAAUCCGGUUAAGAUUCCGGAACCAGGAUGUGGAUCCUUGACGGCAACGUAAAUGAAGUUGGAGACGCUGGCAGGGGCCCUGGGAAGAGUUCUCUUUUCUCCUUAACCGCCUACAACCCUGAAAUCGGAUUAUCCGGAGCUAGGGUUCAAUGGCG
RNAcentral lists this ribosomal RNA (236 nucleotides) under uncultured eukaryote. Its description in RNAcentral is "partial Eukaryotic large subunit ribosomal RNA". It matches the Rfam family "Eukaryotic large subunit ribosomal RNA", at positions 1524 to 1756 of the family's 3401-position model. The record is from RNAcentral.